AGCCAUCCAACACAAAAUUUGGAACAUACUUCAUUGGAGAAGUGAAAAAUGGUAUUUUAGUAUCCCAUAUAUCCACUGUUUUGAGCAGAAGCAGAAGGGGGGUUUACAUUACCACCAAAUUCUUAUUAAAUUUUGUAUCUAACACCCUAUACUUCGGUAUUUACAGACAUACUACCCAAUCCUUGCCAAGUCUCUUGUCCACCGCUCUCCUUUCGCUUCUGUCAACCGUUCCGACUUUACAAGGACUUUCCGGCAAGCUCGCAAGGCAACGGCAGGAUGUCGGCCUACAGUGUUAUGCAAGGCUGCAUCCACGAGCUAUUAAUUGCAAGAAGAAAAAGUGUGGACAUAGCAACCAGCUGAGGCCUAAGAAGAAGAUCAAGUAAACAAUGUUUCAGUCCUAAAAGUAUUUCUCAUUUGCUGCUUUCAACUGGAUGUUAAUUAUAUUUUUAUGUCCCUGACUGUUUUAUUGGAGCACUGGCUUUGUUGCC
Phalaenopsis equestris is the source of this 488-nucleotide long non-coding RNA. RefSeq lists it as uncharacterized. NCBI's taxonomy places the organism in Eukaryota, Viridiplantae, Streptophyta, Magnoliopsida, Asparagales, Orchidaceae. The transcript is spliced from 3 exons. The record is from RefSeq and is a predicted model, not a curated record.